UACAGAGGUCUCAAGCGUUGUUCGGAUUCAUUGGGCGUAAAGGGUGCGUAGGUGGCGCGCUAAGUCAGGUGUGAAAUUUCGGAGCUUAACUCCGAAACUGCAUUUGAUACUGGCGUGCUUGAGGACUGGAGAGGAGACUGGAAUUCAUGGUGUAGCAGUGAAAUGCGUAGAGAUCAUGAGGAAGACCAGUGGCGAAGGCGGGUCUCUGGGCCGAUACUGACGCUGGAGGAGCGAAAGCGUGGGGAGCGAACAGG
This 254-nucleotide ribosomal RNA is filed under the name uncultured bacterium. RNAcentral's name for it is "partial 16S ribosomal RNA". It matches the Rfam family "Bacterial small subunit ribosomal RNA", at positions 524 to 776 of the family's 1533-position model. The record is from RNAcentral.